CCAGUGACUGUGAUUGUGUGCGCGUGCGUGUAUUUAUUCUUACACCAAACCUGCAUUAAUUCACUGACUCUUUUUAUUUCAGCAGGCGAUAUGCUGCAGUAACCCAGGUCAGUCACGAGAUGGUAGUCUAGGCAAAGUUAAGGAAGUCCGGAAAGCGUGCUCUAAUGUUCGUAUCUGGAAGUGGCGUUCUGGGUUGUUUAUAUAUUGGACACAACAGAACUCCCUUUUUUCUGAGAGUCUUUUGAGUUGUUAGUUUGAGAGCAGGGAAAAUGCUGACAGAAGAAAUCAGGUCUUCCUCCCUGCAUGUGUUCACUCUGCCUGCAAACGACGUGUCCUGUAAUGUAUUACGGAGCCACUUAUCACUUGAGGCAAGAUGGUGGAGAAGAGCCUGUCCUCAUGUCCCAGCAGUCCACGGGCUGAAGAGCAGAGCUGCUGCAGGAGUAAAUGCAUUGCUAUUUAUCAAAACAGCAGCAUUCGAUGAAUUGCUUUUUAUUGACAGACCCCUGAUUUUUGUCUCCAGAACUACAGUGAAAUCUAAAAUGGAGGCUAAAAAUACGAGGCCAUCUCUCUUGGUUAGGGUUAGAGUGGUGGGAUAUUAA
RNAcentral lists this long non-coding RNA (599 nucleotides) under Astyanax mexicanus (Mexican tetra). RNAcentral describes it as "lncRNA (ENSAMXG00005012634.1)". Lineage: Eukaryota; Metazoa; Chordata; Actinopteri; Characiformes; Acestrorhamphidae. The record is from RNAcentral.